AUCUCAGCUCCUUGGAGGUCUGAGGUGGGAGGACAGCUCCAGUCCAGGAGGUUCAAGGCUUCGGUAAGCCUGGGCAACAGAGUGAGACCGUCUCGAGAAACAAAAACAAAACCAAAAAACCCAACCAAAAGCAGCAUUACCCAGAACCUAUCUACUUUAGAACCGUAGCAUGCCCUGUCUGCUCCUGCUGCACCUAAUACCAGAGGGAACUGCGCCAACUCCAAAUUAAAAACAUUAUCAGUGAUCAGAAACAAAAGUUCCAUUAUCAGAAUCUUUCAAAGCUCAGUAAUAGCUUAAACUCCUGGCUUCUUAAAGGAUUAGUAACACUUUGAUAUCUAUGUAUAUUUGGCUUCACAGAGGAGAACCAAAUGACAUUACCUUGAAAAUCUAGGACUAAGGGACCUUGUGAAUACAGAGGGAAACUAUCCAAGGAACAGUCAAGAGCAGUUUUAAUUGAAUGUGCAUUCCGGCAGCCGAUGGACCUCACGUGGACCCUGACUUAUGACUCACCUGAUCCUGUGGCCCCACCCAGAGGUAGACUCAGCACAAGAGGACCGUUUUCUACAUCUCUAUGGUUUCAUCCCCAGUCAGUCAGCAGUACCCACUUCCUAGCCCUUGCCCACCAAACUGUCCAUAAAAACCUUAACCUUUGAUCCUUUGGGGAGUAAUGAUUUGAGUAAUAAUUCCAUCUCUUAUGUGGGUGGCCUCUUGUCAAUUAAAAUGGUAACUUCAAUAACA
Molecule: long non-coding RNA, 738 nt
Organism: Cercocebus atys (sooty mangabey)
Lineage: Eukaryota; Metazoa; Chordata; Mammalia; Primates; Cercopithecidae
Exons: 2
Source: RefSeq, a predicted model, not a curated record